Molecule: ribosomal RNA, 253 nt
Filed under: uncultured bacterium
Lineage: Bacteria
Description: partial 16S ribosomal RNA
Rfam family: Bacterial small subunit ribosomal RNA
Source: RNAcentral
UACGUAGGGGGCAAGCGUUGUCCGGAAUCAUUGGGCGUAAAGAGCUCGUAGGCGGUCUGUCGCGUCGGCUGUGAAAACCCGGAGCUCAACUCCGGGCCUGCAGUCGAUACGGGCAAACUGGAGUGUUGCAGGGGAGACUGGAAUUCCUGGUGUAGCGGUGAAAUGCGCAGAUAUCAGGAGGAACACCGGUGGCGAAGGCGGGUCUCUGGGCAACAACUGACGCUGAGGAGCGAAAGCGUGGGGAGCGAACAGG